GUGGUCUGUCUGCCUUUUCCCUGCUUUUCCCAGUCUUCCUGUCUCGUGAUUGUCAACCUUGUUAUUUAUAUCAGAGGCUCAGAUGGUUUUCUGUUAGCAUGUCUUGCACCUCUUCCAUCACUUAGCUGGAAGACAGGGUAAAGGAGAACCCUCUGGUCCAGACGGGACGUUCUUCUCUGGUUAUACGACGGAUUCUUGGCAGCAAUGGAAGAUUGUGUGCCUGACUACGACAUCAGUUGAGGACGUAGAAGGAAUUGGCAUGCACUGGCAUCCACCCUUAACUGCUACCUGACUUUGAUGGCAACCAACCUCCAUGUCCCCAUGCCCAUCUUACACAGAGGGAAUUCCUGUUGCUUCUUCAUGUUUAGUCCAGCUGAGCCGCAGGUGCUGGCUGGCGAGCCUUUGCCUCAGACUGGGCAGCAAAUUAAACAACUAGG
Girardinichthys multiradiatus is the source of this 437-nucleotide long non-coding RNA. RefSeq lists it as uncharacterized. NCBI's taxonomy places the organism in Eukaryota, Metazoa, Chordata, Actinopteri, Cyprinodontiformes, Goodeidae. The transcript has 3 exons. The record is from RefSeq and is a predicted model, not a curated record.